CAGCAGCCACGGGAAUACGUAGGGCGCGAGCGUUAAUCGGAAUUACUGGGCGUAAAGCGUGCGCAGGCGGUUAUAUAAGACAGAUGUGAAAUCCCCGGGCUCAACCUGGGACCUGCAUUUGUGACUGUAUAGCUAGAGUACGGUAGAGGGGGAUGGAAUUCCGCGUGUAGCAGUGAAAUGCGUAGAUAUGCGGAGGAACACCGAUGGCGAAGGCAAUCCCCUGGACCUGUACUGACGCUCAUGCACGAAAGCGUGGGGAGCAAACAGGAUUAGAUACCCCUGUAGUCCCUGUCUCUUAUAC
Molecule: ribosomal RNA, 301 nt
Filed under: uncultured bacterium
Lineage: Bacteria
Description: partial 16S ribosomal RNA
Rfam family: Bacterial small subunit ribosomal RNA
Source: RNAcentral